This 1397-nucleotide long non-coding RNA is filed under the name Olea europaea subsp. europaea. The record is from RNAcentral. Lineage: Eukaryota; Viridiplantae; Streptophyta; Magnoliopsida; Lamiales; Oleaceae.
GUUCUUAUAUAUUGUAAGUAAGUUAAUAUGGUUUAAACAUUUUGAUGUAGAUACUUUUGUUUUACUUUAAAAUGUAAAUGUGCUAAUAGUCUUUUUUAAUUUUUUCAGUUCCUGUCUGUUAGUUUGGGCUUGAAGUAUUCCAUAAAUUGUCUUAUUCUUAUUAUUGAUGCUUCAAAUACAUGUAAUGGAGUAAUUGGUUGUAUGAAGUUUGAAACAAUGCGUCAUCAUGAAUAAGAAAACCAAAGGCAAAGAGAUAGACGAAAUCGACUUGGAAAUGGUUGCAACGAUCGUCGUAAGAGGAUAACUUAUCCUAUGUCAUCUGAGAAUAAUAAUUUUAAUGUUGCAGAAAUGCAACAAUGUAUAAUGGAUGAUGAUUUCGAUACUUCUACUUCAAAUGAAAAGAUACCUAAUAUUUCUAAUCAUACAUUAGAAGUAAAUUUAAUGAAUUAGAUAUAGCAACAACUGCAUAUGUAUUACCGAUACGCAACAAUUGUAAACAUUAAGGUGCAAAAAGAUUUCAUAGAGAAAGUAAAGAUUUUUAUUGUUCUGAUGGAAAAGUUCAUAUCUCUAUGCCUAAUUCACCGAAUGGACUAUACAAUUUAUUCACUUCUAAAGAACCUAAAUGCAUGGAAUUUAAGAAAAUUGCAUGAGGAUUUAAUAACGAUUUUGUUUUUACUUCAUUUGGUGUAAAAUAUGACAAAGAACUCUUUAAAGCAUACAGAGGUAUUUACACAUUUAGAGUUCAAAGACAAGUAUAUCAUUAUGUAAAUGAACUCGUUCCACAGAAUAGUAUACCUCCUUAUAUACAGUUAUAUUUUUAUGAUACAGAUAAUGAACUUGAAAAUCAUAUGUAAAUUUCAGAGAAUUUUGUCUAAUGUAUUUUAAGUACUUUAAUUAAAAUCUUGAAGGUUAAUCCAUGUAGUACAUUUUUCCAAUCGUUAAGUAAUAUGACUAAUUUGCAAGACUACCGAAUACACAUAAGAUGUGAUUCAUGACUUGAUAUAAGAGUUUUUAAUACUCAUACAGCAUCUCAGGUAGUUGCUGUAUGCGUAGAAAAUGAUAAGAACGCUAAUCAUCGUCUUCAUGAUAUUAUUAUAUAUGAUAAUUCUGAUGAUUCACAUAAAAUUCAUUAUUAUUACGGUUGUAAUGAUCCUUUGCAGUAUCCAUUACUUUUUCCAUAUGGAGAAUCUGGUUGGCAUGAGGGUAUUGAAAGGUGUAGAAAAAGGUCUUUUCAGCUUGAACAUUUGUCUGAAUUUGUUGCAAUCUCUAAUACGAUUACCUUUGCAGCUGAAAUUAUUGAAAAAGAAAAUAAAGGUUUGAAAAAAAAAAUUUGUUUAUUUAUCUAAGUUUUUUAGUGUCAAUAUUGUAAAUGAUUGAUAAUUUAUUUUGCAGUACUU